RNAcentral lists this ribosomal RNA (562 nucleotides) under uncultured bacterium. Its description in RNAcentral is "bacterial SSU rRNA". It matches the Rfam family "Bacterial small subunit ribosomal RNA", at positions 377 to 930 of the family's 1533-position model. The record is from RNAcentral.
GAAAGCCUGAUGCAGCCAUGCCGCGUGUAUGAAGAAGGCCUUCGGGUUGUAAAGUACUUUCAGUUGUGAGGAAGGGUGUGUAGUUAAUAGCUGCACAUCUUGACGUUAGCAACAGAAGAAGCACCGGCUAACUCCGUGCCAGCAGCCGCGGUAAUACGGAGGGUGCGAGCGUUAAUCGGAAUUACUGGGCGUAAAGCGCAUGCAGGUGGUUCAUUAAGUCAGAUGUGAAAGCCCGGGGCUCAACCUCGGAACUGCAUUUGAAACUGGUGAACUAGAGUGCUGUAGAGGGGGGUAGAAUUUCAGGUGUAGCGGUGAAAUGCGUAGAGAUCUGAAGGAAUACCAGUGGCGAAGGCGGACCCCUGGACAUACACUGACACUCAGAUGCGAAAGCGUGGGGAGCAAACAGGAUUAGAUACCCUGGUAGUCCACGCCGUAAACGAUGUCUACUUGGAGGUUGUGGCCUUGAGCCGUGGCUUUCGGAGCUAACGCGUUAAGUAGACCGCCUGGGGAGUACGGUCGCAAGAUUAAAACUCAAAUGAAUUGACGGGGGCCCCGCCCAACC